GAUGAACGCUGGCGGCGUGCCUAAUACAUGCAAGUCGAGCGAACAGAUGAGGAGCUUGCUCCUCUGACGUUAGCGGCGGACGGGUGAGUAACACGUGGAUAACCUACCUAUAAGACUGGGAUAACUUCGGGAAACCGGAGCUAAUACCGGAUAAUAUAUUGAACCGCAUGGUUCAAUAGUGAAAGACGGUUUUGCUGUCACUUAUAGAUGGAUCCGCGCCGCAUUAGCUAGUUGGUAAGGUAACGGCUUACCAAGGCAACGAUGCGUAGCCGACCUGAGAGGGUGAUCGGCCACACUGGAACUGAGACACGGUCCAGACUCCUACGGGAGGCAGCAGUAGGGAAUCUUCCGCAAUGGGCGAAAGCUUGACGGAGCAAUGCCGCGUGAGUGAUGAAGGUCUUCGGAUCGUAAAACUCUGUUAUUAGGGAAGAACAAAUGUGUAAGUAACUAUGCACGUCUUGACGGUACCUAAUCAGAAAGCCACGGCUAACUACGUG
This 497-nucleotide ribosomal RNA is filed under the name uncultured bacterium. Its description in RNAcentral is "partial 16S ribosomal RNA". It matches the Rfam family "Bacterial small subunit ribosomal RNA", at positions 28 to 507 of the family's 1533-position model. The record is from RNAcentral.